RNAcentral lists this unclassified non-coding RNA (240 nucleotides) under Ascomycota sp. RNAcentral describes it as "partial contains small subunit ribosomal RNA, internal transcribed spacer 1, and 5.8S ribosomal RNA". The stretch from base 1 to 47 matches the Rfam family "Eukaryotic small subunit ribosomal RNA", at positions 1785 to 1831 of the family's 1831-position model. Lineage: Eukaryota; Fungi; Ascomycota. The record is from RNAcentral.
AAAGUCGUAACAAGGUCUCCGUAGGUGAACCUGCGGAGGGAUCAUUAUCGAGUUAGGGUCUUUUAUAGGCCCGACCUCCAACCCUGUGUCUACCUAACCUCUCGUUGCUUCGGCGGGUCCGUCCCCUUAUAAGCAGGGGGCGACCGCCGGUGGCCAAACUAAACACUCUUGUUGAACCGUGGCGUCUGAGUGGAAAUAAUCAAUAACCAAAAACUUUCAACAACGGAUCUCUUGGUUCUG